CCUACGGGUGGCAGCAGUGAGGAAUAUUGGUCAAUGGACGAGAGUCUGAACCAGCCAAGUAGCGUGAAGGAUGACUGCCCUAUGGGUUGUAAACUUCUUUUAUAUGGGAAUAAAAUGUUCCACGUGUGGGAUUUUGUAUGUACCAUAUGAAUAAGGAUCGGCUAACUCCGUGCCAGCAGCCGCGGUAAUACGGAGGAUCCGAGCGUUAUCCGGAUUUAUUGGGUUUAAAGGGAGCGUAGGUGGAUUGUUAAGUCAGUUGUGAAAGUUUGCGGCUCAACCGUAAAAUUGCAGUUGAGACUGGCAGUCUUGAGUACAGUAGAGGUGGGCGGAAUUCGUGGUGUAGCGGUGAAAUGCUUAGAUAUCACGAAGAACUCCGAUUGCGAAGGCAGUUCACUGGACUGCAACUGACACUGAGGCUCGAAAGUGUGGGUAUCAAACAGGAGUAGAUACCCGGGUAGUC
RNAcentral lists this ribosomal RNA (460 nucleotides) under uncultured bacterium. RNAcentral describes it as "partial 16S ribosomal RNA". It matches the Rfam family "Bacterial small subunit ribosomal RNA", at positions 338 to 795 of the family's 1533-position model. The record is from RNAcentral.